This 531-nucleotide ribosomal RNA is filed under the name Euphlyctis cyanophlyctis (skittering frog). Its description in RNAcentral is "partial 16S ribosomal RNA". It matches the Rfam family "Bacterial large subunit ribosomal RNA", at positions 1858 to 2605 of the family's 2925-position model. The record is from RNAcentral. Lineage: Eukaryota; Metazoa; Chordata; Amphibia; Anura; Dicroglossidae.
CCUGCCCGGUGAUAUAAUUUAACGGCCGCGGUAUACUGACCGUGCGAAGGAGCAUAAUCACUUGUUCUUUAAAUGGGGACUAGUAUGAAUGGCACCACGAGGGCUUUACUGUCUCCUUUCUUCAAUCAGUGAAACUGACCUCCCUGUGAAGAGGCAGGGAUACUACUAUAAGACGAGAAGACCCCAUGGAGCUUUAAACCCAACAACAGCCCAAACACCUACCCCCUCAAAGUUUUUAAAGUUUUGUUAGUUGGUUUUAGGUUGGGGUGACCGCGGAGUACAAACCACCCUCCACGACGAAUGGGCCUACCCCCUUACCCAAGAAUUACACCUCUAAGGAUUAACACAUUAACGUAAAAUGAUCCAAAUAUUUGAUCAACGAACCAAGUUACCCUGGGGAUAACAGCGCAAUCCAUUUUUAGAGCCCCUAUCGACAAAUGGGUUUACGACCUCGAUGUUGGAUCAGGGUAUCCCGGAGGUGCAGCCGCUUCCAAUGGUUUGUUUGUUCAACAAUUAAAACCCUACGUGAUC